AUGGGCAUGCCCGGCGACGACUCGCGCUGUCGGCCUCGAGUGCGCGGCGGCUCGUCGAGCGCACCCACGACGGCGGUCGACGGCCAGAGGCCGCUGGACUUCACGACGGUCGCUCCGCCAGCGUGGUCGGCCGCCUCAGAGUCGGGACCAGGAGCCCCCGCCAGCGUGGUCGGCCGCCUCAGAGUCGGGACCAGGAGCCCCCGCCAGCGUGGUCGGCCGCCUCAGAGUCGGGACCAGGAGCCCCCGCCAGCGUGGUCGGCCGCCCUCGGCAGCGGCAGGGGUGUCUUCGGUCGCCGUCGAGCUUUCGUGGACCUCGAUCCAGGGCCGGCGGCGCUCGGCGCACACAUGGACGCGCCCCUGCCCCUGCGCCCCCCGCUCCUCCCCGUCCUCUGCCCGCUCGGCGCCCCUGCCCCUGCGCCCCCCGCUCCUCCCCGUCCGCUGCCCGCUCGGCGCCCCUGCCCGGCGACGACUCGCGCUGCCGGAAGCACCCGCCCAUGCCUGGAGCUUCAAGUAGCAGCUCCCGCCCUGGGCGCGAGCGAGGGCCGACGAGGCCGACGGCGAGCCGGGCGGCAGCGGACGCCUCCUCUUGGAGACGACGAUGUUGGUCGCGGCAGCUGCUUCCGCCGCGGCAUGCCGCCCACGUGCCCGCCGCCGGGGAGCGCCGUGGCCGACGCCUUCCGGGCCAUCGCUAGCAUGCCGCCCACGUACGCGUCACGCGCGCGCCUCAGCAGCCGCCUGGGCGCCGUCACGACCGCGCGGACGGCCCGCGCGCGCCGAAGGAGAAGCCCGCGCCGGACGACCCACGCGACGCGCACCGGAGCCGCCGAGGCGCUGCGUGCCCUGGGACCUGCUGCCGCCGCCCUCGCCGGCCUCCAGGCGCUGGUACUUGCGCCGGCGCCAGUGCGCGCGCACGCCCUCGUGAACCCGAUCGGGAACGCCUCCAUCUCCAUGGGCGGCCGGCUAGUGUGCUGGUACAAGAUCGCGCUCGGCCUGGGCUCCGCCUUGCAGUACCUCCACACGGAAUGCGACCAGUGCAUCGUGCACCGCGACAUCAAACCCGCAAACGUGAUGCUCGACGCGUCGCGCGAUCCGCCGGCUGCAAGUUGUGCAUCGGCCGCUACCUAG
This 1125-nucleotide ribosomal RNA is filed under the name Triticum aestivum (bread wheat). RNAcentral's name for it is "partial small subunit ribosomal RNA". The record is from RNAcentral. Lineage: Eukaryota; Viridiplantae; Streptophyta; Magnoliopsida; Poales; Poaceae.